AAUUCGAUUGAGUUUGAUCAUGGCUCAGGACGAACACUGGCGGCGUGCUUAACACAUGCAAGUGGAGCGACGAACCAGGGCUUGCCCUGGGGCAGAGCCGCGAACGGGUGAGUAACACGUGGGUAACCUGCCUCGAUGAUCGGGACAACCCGGGGAAACCCGGGCUAAUACCGAAUGUGCUCUCGAGCCUCAAGGCUCGAGUGGAAAGGAAGCUUCGGCCUCCGCAUCGAGAUGGGCCCGCGGCCCAUUAGCUUGUUGGUGAGGUAACGGCUCACCAAGGCUGCGAUGGGUAGCUGGUCUGAGAGGACGAUCAGCCACACUGGGACUGAGACACGGCCCAGACUCCUACGGGAGGCAGCAGUGGGGAAUCUUGCGCAAUGCGCGAAAGCGUGACGCAGCAACGCCGCGUGGGGGAAGACGGCCUUCGGGUUGUAAACCCCUUUCAGUUGGGACGAAGCUUCGGUCGUUAAUAGCGGCUCGGAGUGACGGUACCUUCAGAAGAAGCCCCGGCUAACUACGUGCCAGCAGCCGCGGUAAUACGUAGGGGGCAAGCGUUGUCCGGAAUCAUUGGGCGUAAAGAGCGUGUAGGCGGCCCGAUAAGUCCGUCGUGAAAGUCCAGGG
This 621-nucleotide ribosomal RNA is filed under the name uncultured bacterium. Its description in RNAcentral is "bacterial SSU rRNA". It matches the Rfam family "Bacterial small subunit ribosomal RNA", at positions 1 to 607 of the family's 1533-position model. The record is from RNAcentral.